GUAAAUCUCUAUCAAGUGGAGGCUGCUUAAAGGCUGCUUAAAGCAAUUUGAUGGUCUUAACCUAGAAUGAUACAUGUGAAUGAGUACUGAGUAGAGAAAGAGUAGCAUUUGGGAUUUUCAUAAUGAUGAGUGGAAAAACUACAACUCAAUAAGCUUCUACAUAGUUCAUAGCGAACAGGGAAUCUAAAAAAAUGAUGCAGCAGACCUAGGAAGAUAACUACAUGGACACAAUAGCAUACAACACAAAAAUAAGCAUGCAUACAUACAAGCCUCAUAAAUGCAUAACAGAUUUAUCCCACAAAGACAGCAUAGCACCAUUGUGUGAAUUGAAA
Molecule: unclassified non-coding RNA, 332 nt
Filed under: Hevea brasiliensis (rubber tree)
Lineage: Eukaryota; Viridiplantae; Streptophyta; Magnoliopsida; Malpighiales; Euphorbiaceae
Source: RNAcentral